CUCCAAGUCCAACCUUGUUCCCUGCAAAUUUCCCCCGAAAACAUUUCUAGGGUUCAGCAACAUUUCUCUUCUCUUUCUCCCGCAUAAACCAUUUCCAUCUUUCACCUUCUACCUCUCAAUUUGAUAUAUCUUUCAGCCUCUUAUCUGUAAGCGGUUGUUCUCGUGAUUUUGCCAGANUCCUCUUCUUAGGGUUUACAUUGCGCGUCAGACAUUGUUUCCCUAUCUUGUCAUUCCCAGUUGGGUUUGCAAAAGCCUUGUUUGGUUUCUAAAUGCCAAGAACGGAAGGUUAUUUGGUAUAGGGUUUUGCUAUUGAUAUUGUUGCUAGUGGUUGGCGGUCUUACUGGG
This 345-nucleotide unclassified non-coding RNA is filed under the name Hevea brasiliensis (rubber tree). The record is from RNAcentral. Lineage: Eukaryota; Viridiplantae; Streptophyta; Magnoliopsida; Malpighiales; Euphorbiaceae.